AUGGCGCGCUGCUCGCCGCCGCUGCUGCGCCGCUUCUUCUGCUGCGCCGCCAAAUCUGCCUCGGCCACAUCCGCCGCCGCCAGCACCAAGAAGAAGAACAUCGUCUUCUUGGGAUCUCCCCAGGUGGCUGCCUCGGUCCUGGACACGUUGUUGGCCGCGUCCAGCUCCCCCGAUUCCGCAUUCCAGGUCGCUGCCGUCGUGACGCAGCCGCCGGCCGCCAAGAACAGGGGGAGGAAGCUGUUGCCGUCGGCCGUCGCGCAGCUCGCGCUCGAGCGUGGGUUCCCUGGCGACCUCAUCUUCACCCCCGAGCGCGCUGGGGAGGAGUCCUUUCUGUCUGACUUGAAGGGGGUGAGACCAGAACUUUGCGUCACUGCUGCUUACGGGAACAUUUUGCCACAGAGGUUUCUUGAUAUUCCACCGUGCGGUACAAUUAAUAUACACCCAAGUUUGUUGCCUCUAUAUCGCGGUGCAGCUCCUGUGCAGAGGGCAUUGCAGGAUGGUGUUGCAGAAACAGGUGUUUCCCUUGCAUAUACUGUCCGUGCCUUGGAUGCAGGUCCAGUGAUUGCUUGCGAAAGGUUUUCUGUCGAUGAAUUCAUCAAGGCACCAGAGCUGCUUGCUAUACUAUUCAAUAUAGGGUCCAAGCUACUGCUGGAUGAACUACCAUCCGUUCUUGAUGGUUCAGCUAAGCAAAAGGCAAAGCCACAAGAUGACUCCAAAGCUACGCUGGCGCCCAAGAUGAAUUCAGACGAGUCCUGGCUGACAUUUGACGAAGAAGCUAAAGUUCUUCAUAACAAGGUGCGAGCAUUUGCAGGAUGGCCAGGAACCCGCGCAAAAUUGCAACUUCUGAACCAAAAUGGCGAACCCGAUGUUCUAGACAUCAAGGUUAUCAGUACAAAUGUUUCCACGUCAUGUGACAAAGUUGGAGACGAAAACGAAAUACUAUUCUCAGGGAACUCGCUGCUCGUUCCUUGCAGUGGGUCAACUUGGCUUGAGGUCUUGGAGCUUCAGCUACCUGGAAAGAAGGUAACCACGGCUCGGGACUUCUGGAAUGGUUUGCGUGGUCAGAAGCUGUUAAAAUCAACAUAG
RNAcentral lists this ribosomal RNA (1086 nucleotides) under Triticum aestivum (bread wheat). RNAcentral's name for it is "partial small subunit ribosomal RNA". Lineage: Eukaryota; Viridiplantae; Streptophyta; Magnoliopsida; Poales; Poaceae. The record is from RNAcentral.